AGGGGGGAUUUUGGAUGGUUGAGAUGAGAUUGUGGGGUAUUUUGGACGGUUGUGAUGAGAUUGUGAGAUAUUGGGUGGUUAUGAUGGGAUUGCGGGAAUAUUGCGGAUUAGUCCUUUCCCUUUGAUCAUAUUACACCUUAAUAAAAAUAUUAUAUGAUUAAGGUGGGGCAUUUUGUAAAUAUAUAAAAGGGAAUAGACUAAUAUGCUAUUUUAUAUACCCGUACGUAUUAUUUUUUCGCAAUCCGGUGCAUGAGAUAUUUUCAAAAUUUAAAUUUUAUCCAUGCACCUGGUGCAUAGAUGAUCUCAUAAGCCAUCUCUAUUUUUAUUUCUUUCUCUCCCUCUUUUUUUUAUUCCUCUGUCUUUUUUUCUUUUUUUUUUUCUUUUUUUUUUUAUGCUUCAACAAUCGGUUUAGUCCCUACCUUUACUAUUUCUGAAUAAUUAACUUAGACACUUUAUGGUUCAGUGGUUUUUCUUAAAUAAAUGUUUAUGGUUUUGUGAAGUUAAUUAAAGCACUCGUGGUUUUCAUGUAAAAUAUUGGAAUUAUUUUCUACCCCUCGUGGUAGCAUUUUAAAGGAAAAUGUUUCCGUGUGAAAAAUAGUUUUAAAAAGGGUUUAUUGAUUUUUCGUAAUUCUUAGUAUUUCAAAAUGAGUUUCUGAGUGGAAAACGUUUUAAACUAAUAGAUGUGGAUUUACGAAUAUCUGUGAUGAAAUGAAUGGUGUAUGUGAAUGGUGUUUGUAUGUGGAUGUUCAUACUUGUGGUUGUAUCUUGUACUUGUGCGACGCCGUACCAAUAUAGGAGAGACUCUGUCCGUGUGAAUAGUGGAUACUCUGUAUUUGUGGCGGAUCUUACAUCCUUUAGGGUCAAGGUUUUCAAGAAAGAAGAAGUAAAAAAAAAAAAAAAAAUUUGGGCACUUCCGCAUUGGCUUUUAAAUCCAAAAAGGUAUCAGAGCCAAUCACUAGCCGAAAAUGUGUGGAAAGUCUCGGCUGAGCCAAGGUUUGAAAGACAAGGUGAUAGGCUAUGUCGGAGUCUGUAUGACAAGGUGACCGGCUAUGUCAAGGUCUGGAUAACAAGGCUAGUGAGGCGAGUCUCACAUCGCCUGGUGAUCUUGGAUUGUGUGUGUGAUUGGACUGACGAGGACGUCAGGGUUUUAACGGAGGGAGUCUGUCACACCCCAAUAAUCCCACAUCGGAUAGAAAUGGAGGUGUGAUUGGGUAUAUAAUAGACUUAGACACUAGUAAUAACAACUGGGCUUAAGCAUUUUGAGCCGGUGGCUGGGCUCAACGAGUUAUUAUUGCUAGCAGGUCAGGUAGAUACAAAAACGCCAUUUGACGGUGAGGUUUGUGCUGUGAAACACGGCUUGGUGGCGGGAUUUGGGCCGUGAAGUCCGAAUCUGUUAUAGGCCAAACACUUGUCGAAUAGAUUGGAAUGUAAACCACCAUUCGGCAGCGAGAUUCGGGACGUGAAACACAGCUCGGUGGGCGUGAAGCACGAAUCCGUUGCAGGACAAACAUCUGCGUCAAACAGGUUAAUUUGGAAUGUAAAAUACUAUUUGACGGCAAGGUUUGGAGAUACGGAACCAUUACCUGCCAAACACAUGUCAAAUUAAGUAGCGAAUUUAUCCUGUUGGAUAUGAUUGUGACAUGUCAAGAGAAGCAUUCGAACGUCAAAUUAAGUAGCGAAUUUGCCAUGUUGGAUAUGAUUGUGACAUACUAUUGACGGCGAGGUUUGGAGCGUGAAACACAAUUCGAUGGUAGAAUCUGUAUACGUCAAAUACGGAACCAUUACCUGCCAAACACACGUCAAAUUAAGUAGCGAAUUUAUCCUGUUGGAUAUGGUUGUGACAUGUCAAGAGAAGCAUUCCAACGUCAAAUUAAAUAGCGAAUUUAUCAUGUUGGAUAUGAGUGUGACAUGUAUUCCAACGUCAAAUUAAGUAGCGAAUUUAUCAUGUUGGAUAUGAUUGUGACAUGUCAAGAAAAGCAUUCCAAGGCCUUCCAGGUGUAAGGACGACAUGCGUUGCCAAUUUACUGUGACAUUAUUUUCUGUGACAUCAUUUAUUUGCCAAAUUGGAGAAGAAUAUUCAUCUUUUUUUUUUUUUUUACUGUAACUCUAUUUUGUUUACUCGUGUUAGGCGACUCUUAAUACCAAAACAUGCCAAAAGUAGAGAAGAGUCAUCUCCAAAAAAUUAGAAAAUUUUCAAAUAUUCAUAUAUUUUAUCCAAUUAAUACAUCCAAAACUAUAUCCUUAAUCUCCAGAAAUUUAUUAUAUUUAUUAAAAAUCUAAAUAAAUUUUUAUUUUUCUGAAUUUUUGUAAAUACUAACAUGGUCGACCAAUUUUUAUAUUUUUAUCAUAUUUAUGGUUGAAUAAAAAAAAUUGCAAAAUUUAUCGAUCUUCACGGUUUUCAUUUUUUCAAUGCAUUGCGUAUUCGAAGCACCUAGUUAAUUAAGACUGAAAGGAAUAAGGAAAAAAAAAAAGGUAUUACAGAAAGCCAAGUGACCCUACAUUAGUAGAAAUUUUAGUAAAAUACCCGCGCGAUGCUGCGGAUCUAAAAUAUUUUUAUAAUAAAUUUUAUUUUUUAAUAUUUUUAUAUAGUUUUAUAAGUCUAAUUAUUAAUUAAAUAAAAAUUAUAUAAAAAUAAUUUAAUAGUUAAAUCUUAAAAUUGAUAUAUGCCCAAAUAAAUUUAUACAUCACUUUAUUUUAUAAAGAUUUAUAUGAGAAAGAUUUGAGAUAAAUCUAUCAAAAUAAUUUUUAAAAAAUCAAUAGAUAGAAGGGAAGUAAAUUUGUAGAAUAAAUUGCUUAAUAAAAUUAUUAGCAGCGUAGUAGGCCGAGUUCAUUGGAUAAUUUUUGUUGAUUCAAUUAUUACAGGUCUAAAUUAAUUCUUAGAUGGAGAUCAACAUGUAUAUUUUUUGAAGAUAUAUUAUAUUGGUUGGCGACUAACAGACCUUUCAUUUAUUUUUCUAACUUUAUAAAGAAAUCAAGAUCAGUGUUGAGAGUAUAAAUUUAUUCUAAACAAAUAAAGUUUGAAGUGAAAAUAUUUUUUAAAAAUUCAAAAAGUAUUAGCGCAAUAAAUUAACCCUCUUAUGCUAGCUCUUUAUUCAAGCCAUACUAUCUCACCAUUAAUAAUAUUUAUUCUUUUGUUUUUUAUAAUCAUAAUAAUUUUAUUCCCACAAUUUUGAUGAUAGAUUUAUAAAAAACUUAUUGUUUAAUAUAUUUUAAAUAUAUUUAUUUAUAAAAAAACUAUAAUAAUAAUAUUUAUAGUAUAAUAAUUAUUGUAUAGUAAUAAUAUAUAUAUAUAUAAUAUAUAUAUAUAUAUAUAUAUAUAUAUAUAUAUAUAUAUAUAUAUAUAUAUAUACUAGUAAAAUGUACGUGCAAAUGCACAUAAUAAUUAUUAGAAAAAGUUAUAAUUUUUUAAAUUAUUUUUUAAUUUUAGGUCAUAUUUUAUAUGAUUGCCAAAUAUGUAUCUAAAAAUUUAAAAUAAUAAAUCACGCUAUUAAGAAAGAUAUGCUUUAAAUGAUAAAUAAUUAACAAUAAUCUCUAAUGCAAAAAUUACUUUUGAAAUUAAAUAGAAAAAUAAAAUCUGUUAGGAAAUAAAAUUUUGAAAUUAAAUAAAAAUAUAAAAUCCGUUAUCUUAAAAAGAUAAUAUAUUUUGAAAUUAAAUAGAUAAUAUCUAAAAAAGAUAUUUUAAAAUAAAAUGAAAAAAUAUCUUUUAUAGGAUUUUCACACCCGUAAUCUGUUAUAGAAAACUUACUUUUGAAAUUAAAUGAAAAAAUUUAUAUUUUAGAAUUUCACAUCAGUAAUCUGUUAUAGAGAACUUACGUAUUCAUUGCUGUUCUAUUUCUAUUUUAUUCUUAUAUUUAAAUUUUUCGUACGGAAAGAAAAAAAUGGGCGCUAAUUUUCUCCCCGAAAAAUGGUGUGUCGACCGACACCAAAUUUGAAUAUACGUGCUUUUUAUAUAUAGUAUAGAUAUAUAAUAUAUAAUAUAAAUAGAAAAAAUAUUUAUAUAUAAUAAUAAUUUAUUAUAUUAUUUAUUUUUCUUUCAACGAAACAACUAUAAAGAAAAUUUAUUGAGUUACCGACCGUCCCUGCGCGCAAGUGGCAAAAGGUUGAUGGUUAGUAUCCGAAGUUCGAAGUUCGAAUCCUACAUGAUUCACAUUUCAGCAAGUUUAUUUCUAAAUGAAAUAAACGAAGCGGAUAGAAUGCUACCCAUCAUCUCGAUCUACAAAAAAAAAAGUGACGGAUGUUGGAAUCGGGUAUAUGAUCGGAUUGCAUCGAGAUAUAUAUUAAAAUUGUAGCGAGUAUUGCUAUUUAGUUUAAUUACCCGUACGUUAAUAUUAAUAUUUGUUUUUAAUAUUGGAUUAUGAGGCAUUUUGUGUUUGAAAAAUAUGUUUUUUAAAUAGGUUGGGCCGUGAAAUACAAUUUGGAUCGAGCAUGACCGAUCGUUCCUAGCGCAAGUAGCAAAACACUUGGUAGUUCAUACUUAAUUAAGGUCUCAAGUUCGAAACCUUAUUGCUUUACAUUUUCAGCUAAAUUUAUUUCUAAAAAAAUUAAACGAAACUAGUAGCAUGCUAUCUUCCUCUCAAACAAAAAUCGAGUCUUUUGACACGUCAGGGCGUGAAACAUGUCGGAGGGAAAUACGAUUUGGGUGGAACAGGUUUAGAAUAUGAAAUAUGAUUUGUGUCGAAUAGGUUUGGAGCGUGAAACACGAUUCGAAUGCGAGGUUUGGAACGUGAAACACGACUCCACGGCGAGGCUUGUGCCGUGAAAUACAUUAAACUGAACAAGGGUUUAUAAGUUGGGUAUGAUUAUUGUAACUUAGUUAAUUCGGAUUCGGCAAAAAUUCGGUACGGAUAUAAUACGCAUAAAAUUCGUUUUUCUAAUUUUUAAAUUCGUUAAAAAAUUCGGCUUAAAAAAUAGAUUCGGUUUAAAAUAUAAAAUAUAAAAUAUAAGAUAAUUUAUAUUUAAAAAUAAAAAUUAUAAAUUUUUUAUUCAUAUUUUCAAUAAUUUGGGAAUAAUUUGCGGAGCCCAAAAAUUCACGAAUAAUUAUCUUUCUUUGGGAAAAAUUCGUAAAUGGACUGUUUAAUUCGGAUUUUCAAUAAUUCGUGAAUAAUUCGCGAAUAAUUUGCGAAUUAACUAACUAGGAUUGUAACAUGCCAAGAGUAGCAUUCAAAGGCUUUCCAGCUGGCGUGAGGAUGACAUGCAUCGUUAAUUUCCUAACAAUAAUUAGUGUGUAGGGAACCCCAAACCCUAAAGGCAAGUGUUCUUAUUCCCUUAAUUAUAAAUACCCCACCGCAUGCAUCCUAUCCCUCAUAGCAAUCAUCCUAUCCCUUCAACACCAAUCCACCGUUUUUGAGAAUAAACAACCAACAAUGGGGGUUAGUAACUAGAUUAAUCGAAGCUUACAAUUCAUUCCUGUACUAUUAUUUUUUAUUUUUGUUUUUUCAUCUGAAGUAUCCACNGCUUAGAUACUUUAUCAUCAAAUAGUACUACAAAGAGAUAGGUAGCACACUACCCGCUUCACUUCGUUUAUUUCAUUUAAAAAUAAACACUACUCGCUUCACUUUGUUUAUUUCUUUUUAAAAUAAUUUAGCUAGAAAUAUGAAUCAAAUAGGAUUCGAACUUGGAGCUUCGGUACCAACCAUCAAGCCCUUCAUUAUGCCUUUUAAUUCUCUCUUUACAUUUGCUACCUUUGCCUUUACAGUCAUACUUAAGAACUUUUACAGCUGGGACCCUAAUUCAUGACAUUAUUAAUUUUCAUUAUGCUGCGACGGUUACACUAAUAUGUACGGAACGUGAAAUUAAUCCGCCAUCGGUUUUAUCUUGCAAUGUAUUAUCACAGCUUGUUAGCAAACAACCAUAAUUAAGAAUAAGCUGAUUAAUUAACAUAUCCAGAAUAAAAACUUAAAUCCGAUUCCUCUCAUGUACUAACUAUAAGCUUCAAUUUGAGCUCUCCUUCUAAAUUUGUUUUACCCUUCUAUAAAUUCGAAGAAGAAGACUUCUUUUCUCUUCUUCUCUUUCGCAUACAAUGUCGCACCCUCCGUGCCAAUUAAGCAAGGUUUUCAAAAAGAGACUCCGCCGAAAUCACUUUUAAAAAAAUAAAAGAAUUGCUGAGUUCACACACAAAAGUCCUUUUUUUUAAGAGAAAGGUAGCAAAUAAAUUCGGCUGGAAGCGUAAACCAACUAGACUUCGAACUUAGGACCUCGGGAACGUUGCAACCACCAAACCUUUGUCCCUUGCACUAGGGUUCACGCCCAAAAAGUUAAUUAGCACUUCUAUGCCUUAUAUAUAUAACACAGAUAAUUAAGCAGCAACCUGCCCACUACCCUUGUAUAUAUAAUAAGAUAUGUCUACUCUAUUACAUAUUUAAAUCUUCAUCCUAAUCAAGUUAGGAUAUAAUUACAAGUCUAACGAAAUUAUAACAAUCAGUUGAGUUUCUGGAUAGACGAUCAAUUCAAUCGCCUCUCCAACUACAUAUUGCGGACCAAAACUACGUACUGCAGUCCGUCCAACUCGCAACAGUUGUUGUGUAGUUGCUAGCUAGCUUCAAAUUAGCUUGUUUCGAACUACCUCUCAAGUCGGAAAGAGAACAAUAUGGAAGUGGAGAAGAAUUUUGGGGAAGCCACUUAGCUUCGCAUAUAUUUUAGUUCAGCACCAAGUUCAAAUUAAACUAAUUAGGUAAAAAUGACACCGGCCGAUUUUUUCACAUCCAAUUUACUGUUGUACAAUUUCUCUAUUCCACAGGUUCAAAUCAGUCGCAGACUUACCGGCAUACGAGUUACGGUGGAUAGUAAAGACAACCUUACUGUUGUUCGAUCGCUUACUCUUGUCGCCGGUCCUAAUAUCAGCUAUGGACCAUAUGGUUCUUCUGGAGCGGGAAAUUCUUUCAGUGCAAAUGGUACAAAUAUUGUUGGCUUUUUUGGGCGUUCUUCAGCGGAGCUGAUUAAUGCAAUUGGGAUCUACAUAAAUACCUAGUUUCUCUCUACUCUAUCUGCCCCGGGUUUACUACGUGACCUUACUAUAUAUACGUAUAUAUAGCAAUAAGGAUACAGUGUGCCGGGUAUCCAUUAUGUCCGUUAUGUCUUUAUGUGUGUCUAUAUAUGUUUAGCGGGCAAUAGUCGAAUUAAAAAAAAAAAAAAAAGAGUUUGCCCCCUUAGAUCUAUGAAAUAAAGAAUAGCAGGCAUGCUAUUCGUGUGUAAUGUUACUGUUCUGUUAUAAAUAAUGUAUGUUAUACUAUUUGUGGGUUUGUAUGAUGUUCUUAUAUAAAGAAUGUGCGGAUUUAUUUUGUUGUUAGCGAUGUUAGCGAACGAAGGGCCGGGCAAUGCGCAGCAGCGAAGAUUUUUUAAGUUAAGAAUAUUCUUCUACAUAACUAACAAUUUUUGCGUGUAUGAUUUGCCCAGUUCAGAUAAAAAAAAAUUUCAUUAAAAGUUUAUAAUUUUAUAUUGCGUUGGUGGAUAAAAAUAAAUUUUAACAUAAAUGUGCUAAAAUAUGAACCAUAUAUUGACAAAUAUAACUUUAAUAUCUGGCCCUUUAGUUUUGUUAGUUUAUAUCGAUCUAAUUAUGAUUUAAAUUGGUUAUGAUUAUGAAUUAAUUAUUAAUCGAGAUACAUUUUAUGUGUGAAAUUAAUUCGGAUUGAUAUAAAGUUAUGUAUGGGAAAUAAGAGUGAUGUUUUGAGUUGAACCACCCAACUGGGGAGCAAGUCGAUCUAAAUUGACAUAAAUUUGAACCUGAAAUGUGUAAAUAUGUAGGUCGAUCUAUGGGAUGAAACUUUAUGGGAAAAGAUUAAUCAAACUGGAAGAGUAAAUGGAUGGCUACGUUUGGGGGAAUUGAAACUAACCGUGGCACAUUAGAUCUUGCCUAAUUGGACGACCGAUGAUACGGGUGCCGAUCCAACUCGAUGUUUGUGAGUCAUUUUGUGUUCUACUUGAGAGUGGCUCAAGCUCAGCUCGCUCAUUUAACAAAUAAGCUAAUUCUGAACUCACUUUUCCAUUCCAAAAUGUAAACCAUUGAAUAAGCUAACUGUAGCUCACUCAUGCUACGAUCGGUAUAACUCAAGGAUGAAUAAAUAAUAUAUGUAAAUAUUAUUUUUAUUUUAACAUGAAGCUGAUUUAGGUAUUACUCUAUGUUCUUUGUUAGCAUGACUUUUUUAUUUUAGUACGGAUUAAUACACCAGAGUAAAGACAGAUAUAGACAUAAUAUAUUAUCUUGAUGGGAUUGCAGCAUCUUUGGAUGUAAUGUGAUUUUUUUUUAAUAAAUAUAUACCGAGUAUCACAUAAUAUUUUAAUUUCAAGAAAAAAUAAAAUAUGUUUGAAGUUACGAUGUGGUGCACUAAUUAAUGUUGAGCUCGGGUAUGAAUGUUAAUCUUUCCUGCUCAUAUGGUAGAACCCAGUGUUGGGCUAGGAACGAAACACAAGGUGAUGCGGACCGGAACACAUUAUUGACCCGGUUAGAUGCUCCCUCAGGAUCUGGAUCGGCUCCUGAAUUGAUCCUCGAAUGCAUCACGAUCAAAUCAAGCGAUUCGGCUGAGAAGAGAUCGAAUCAACCGGAUUCUAUAUCAUUUUGCUAAUUAAAGCCGAAGAAUCAGGAAGAUAGUAUUCGGCUGAUUGAAGACUCGGUUGAAUAAACCAAGUCGUUUGUAUUGUGGAAAAACUUGGGUUACAAGUAAAGUUAAGGCUAUUUCUAGAAAAAGCUAUAAAUGCUGGAAGAAUAAGAAUUACAAGUAAACUAUUCCUACAAAAACUGUAAAUGCUGAAAGAUUAAAAAUUACAAGUAAACUAUUUCUAGAAAAGUUGUAAAUGCUGAAAUUAGAAAUAUUGAAAAAUGCAGUAUUCUUUCGUUCGUAAGAGAGAAAUGCCUCUAUUACAGGCUUCAAAAUUACUAUUUAUAGUAAUAUCUUAUCAGUCUACGUUAUUGGUUGGUUUUAGUAGUGGGGGGAGUGUUGUAGCCAUGAUCGCGUAAGUUACGCCCCACUUCCCCCAUAAGGUCUCUCCACCUUCAGGUGCCUUGUUGUCGGCUUUUGAUGCACCACGUGUCCUUAUUUCUUUAGCUCGUGUGUUGGUCAGGCCGUCUAUCUUAUGACAUGCUAAUUUUUUUCAUCAACAAUGCCCCCUCAAUAGUCUUUUAAAUGAACAUUCUGAAAACUAUUGAUGCUAAAUCAACGGCUCGAUUAUAGCCAAGACCCGAGCUUCAGUCUCGUUGAUCUUGGAAGGCUUAAAGAAAGCACAUUUAUAUGGUUGUCGGCCCUUUACUAUCUCAGUCGCAUACAGUUCGGCUUUCCUAGCUGAUUUUUCACUUUCAUCGAUUAGCUUGGCUAUUCUUGAACCCACUGUUCUAUUAAGGAUUUCUUCUUGACUUUGCCCCAAGUUCUAUGUCCGCUCCAAUGUAGCCGAUUGUUUUGAUUUUUUUUUGAAAUUUCUCGUACUGACCAACCCGAACACCCAAAUCAAAUAGAUUUGAAAAUUACUUGUUUUCGAAAUGAUCUUUUAUUUGAAAAUGUAAAUCAUUGAAUGCCAUUUUGAUGAACUCUGAUUUCAGCAUCCUCACAAAGUAUCGGUUUCUGGCCGUUUUGAAAUGGUUAAAGUACUCUUCAACCGUUUCACCCAACUUCUGCGAUAUAAAGCUAGAUUAGCCACAGAAAGUUUAUGCUCUAAUCUAUAAAAUUGUUUGUGAAACUUUCGCUCCAACUCGUCCCAUCGAACGAAAUUGGCAGGUAAGCUCGUGUAUAAUGUAAACGCCGUCUUGAUUAACAACAUGUUAAACAAGCAAAAUUUUAGGAAUGGGUCAGCAGUCGUUUCUCUUCACUGGGUUGUGAACUGAGUAACAUGUUCCACAGUAUUCUCAAUCUCUUCACCCGAGAACUUGUCGAACUUUGGCAUCUUACAAUUUGUCGGAUACGGAUGUUCCGCAUCAAUAUUAGCUCGAUAUCGAGACCUAAAUACAGGCCGCAUUACCGGCCUUACCUCUACACCGAACAUAUUCCGGAUUGCCUCUUUUAUUUGAGCAUACAACUUAUUGUUCCUCGCUGCGGGGGCUCCGACGGGGGUCGGAGCCGGAAUUCCAUUCGGCCCUAGAGACAGCAUGUAGUUUUGUACUAUAGAGUUAAGUCCCUGUACUACAUUGAGGCCCUUUCGCCCAGCCCUCAUGCCCAUGUUUUGGAGCUGAUAAACAGGAAAAGAAGGUGGAGAAGGUAAAUCCUAUGCAAUUUCUGGCUGGGAGCCAGCGUUUACAUUCAAUGGCUUAUAGGCAGCCUAGAAAGGCAUUAUUUCGGGUUGUUUCUGCAGUAUUGUUGGUGCGAUUGGGUUCUGUUGCACCGGCGCAGUUAGGGGCCCUGGUGGACCUCCGUAAUGUUGCUCGUUCCUGGGUAGCAGCUAUCUGAUAUGAACUAUAUUUUCAUUAGACACUGUGAUGGCGGCAUUACCUUGUCUAAUCGAGCGAUACUUUAAUGACUAUUUUGAUCCAAUGCCUGCAGGACUCGAAUCAUCCUAUCCCUUAUAGCAAUCCGACACUUUUGAGAGCAAAUUAACAACCAACCAACGAUGGUGACUCAUUAGAUUAAUUAGAUUAACCGGAGCUUAUAUAAUUAGUUAGUUGUAGUAUAAUCUAGCUCUACAUGUAAUGUUUGAAUACUAAGAGUUAGCGUGUUUCGGAUAGAAUAUUCCUCUAUGCUUUCACUGUAAAUCUAUUAUGUUUCUAUUCUGUUUAUACCAAAGAUGCGAAAAGUAGAAAAGAGUCGUAUCCAAAAAUUUAGAAAACUUUCAAAUGUUAAAAUGUCUAAUCCAAUUAAUUAUACAUCCAAAACUAUAUCCUUAAUCUCUAGAAGUUUAUUCUAUCUAUUAAAAAUCUAAUUGAAUUUUUAUUUUUCUGAAUUUUUUGUAAAUACUAACAUGAUCGACUAAUUUUUACAUUUUUAUCAUAUCUAUGGUUGAAUAAAAAAAUGCAAAAUUUAUCGAUCUUCAUGGUUUUAAUUUUUCAAUGCACUACGUAUUCGAAGGACCUAGUUAAUUAAGACUGAAAGGAACAAGAAAAAGAAAAAGCAUUACAAAAGCCAAAUGAUCCCACAUUAUUAGAAAUUUUAUAUUAGCACCAUAGCAGGUCAGGUUUAUCUGAUAAUUUUUGUUGAUUCAAUUAUCACAGGUCUAAAUUAGUUCUUAGAUCGAAAUCAAUAUGCAUGUUUUAUCAAGCUAUUUUAAUUGGUUCGCACACAACAGACCUUUCGUUUAUUUUGCUUAACUUUUAAAAGAAAUCAAGAUCUCAAGAUCACAGUAAGAGAUAAUAAAUUAUUUAUACCAAUAAGUUUGGAAGUGUAAAAAAUUUUUUUGUAAAAAUUCAAAAGCUACCCGGCGCAAUAAAUUGACCUUAUGCUUUUUAUUUCAGGACAAAAUUUGCUGGGCAGGUGCCCAACCUGUGUCCCUCUCUUCUCUCUUUUUUCUUAAAAAGGGCCGCAACAUUUUUUUUUUUUUUUUUCAUGGUGCCGAUGGGCGCCGGAUGAACCCAUACCGGCACCGUGCGCAAACUAAUUGGGCACGCUGCCGAGCAAAAUUUUGUUCCCUUCUUAUUCAACGCAUAUCAUCUCACCAUUAAUUGUGAGAAAUAACUACCACAACAAAACCGAAAAUAUUCUUUUCGGCUUUUAUAAUCAUAAUAAUUUAUUCCCACAAUUUGAUGAAUAGAAUAAUCCCCCAUAAAUAUAUAAGAUCUGUACAUUUUUUUACUAAUACAAUUUUUUUUUUUUUUUUCUAGAACUAGAUGAUAUAAAAAAAUUUUUUUAAAAAAAUUAUUUUUCAAAAUAUUUUCCAACAUGGCCAUACACCUCUUAUACUCCGUUGGAAUGAGUACAAGAGCGGUAUAAGGGGGUUGAUCCUCCCUCCCUUUUCUUUCACCCUGUACCAAACACAAUUUGGGCGCGGGGAGGGCGGGGUGGAACACUUGUUCACCCCCCACCAUCUUUAUGAGGUUGGAGUGGAACAAGUGUAUUCGAGAGAAGAGAGAGACCUCUUGUAUGGAGGUUGGGAUGGAACAAAAUGUUCGAGAGAGACCCUUGUAUGAGAGUUGGCGGUGGAACAAUGUUUCGAGAGGAGACGAGAGAGAUUUUUAAUUUUAAUUUUAAUUUCUAAAAUUUAUAAUUUAGUUUUUUAAAAUUUAAAUUUAUAAUUUUAAAUUAUAAGUUUUAAUGUUUAAAUUAUAAAUUUAAUAUUUGUAAUUUUUAAAUUGUAAAUUUAAUUUUUUAGAUUUAAAAUUUAAAAUUUUAUAUUUUAUAUCUUUUAAAUUUAAAUUUGAUCUUAAAUUUAAAAUUUGAUAUUUAAAAUUUAAAAUUUGAAAAUUGUAAGUUUUAAUUUUAAUUUUAAAAUUAAAAAUUUAAAAUUUAAAAUUUUUAAUUUAAAAUUAUUAGUUUAAAAUAUUAAAUUCAAUUAUAAAGGUAAAAUUAUUAUUUUCUAUCUAUAACUAUCAACUAUUCCACCUUAUACUCAGAUUUUCAUCCACACAUAAUUUUUCUAGUUCCAGCUUAUACUCACAUUUUCAUCUCAACAAAAAAAUAUUCUUAUUCCUACGAAAAUCCAGUCUUAUACCUAUCCCCGGUAUAAUUAAUUUUUGCUUAUACCCGAACCAUUCUUAGGGUCUGUUUGCAGGUUCCUCAAAAAAUAAUAGAAAACUAUUUUUUAAUGAAAAAAAGUUUUGGUGGAAAUAUUUUUUUUUCAGUUUCUAUAAAUAAAUAUUUUUAUUUCACUUUUUUGAUUAGUUGAAUAAUGUCGUAUAUAUAUAUAUAUAUAAAUACCAUCCGUAAAAAAAAGAGAGUGAGAUUGCACAUCUUUUAAAAUAUAAUAUAACUCACAAACUAUUUAAAAUACAAAUAAUAAAUAAUUAAAUAAAAAUAAUUUUUGAAAUAAUUUUUAGUUUAGUAUAAAUAAAAUAGUUGGACAAAAAGAUGACGACGAUGGAUAGGAGAGACACAUACACCCACCCAAGCACACGGACCCGGAGAGGGAGACGCGGGCGGCUGCGGUAAAUAUCCCGAAGCCCCCUAGUUCCGGGCCCGAGGAAACGACCGCCAGCUGCCGCUGUUCUGCUUUGCGCUAGGCGCCCUAGACGCAUGCCGCUGCCGCUGCUGCUGCCGCUGCCGCUGCCGCUGCCGCUGUCGCUGUCGCUCCAAAAAGCGCCCUAAAAACCCUAGCCGGCCGCACCCACUACCACCGUCGGCGCUAUAGACCCUAAACGCAUGCCUUGGCGCCUAGCCGAACUCCACUACCGACCGCCGCGCCCUAAGCGCCCUAGAAGCUUAGGCGCUCGCCCCGCCUCCUGCGGCCCUCUAAACCCCGCGUGCUCAACGCUCUAGACACAUGCCUACGGCGACCGAGGUNNNNNNNNNNNNNNNNNNNNNNNNNNNNNNNNNNNNNNNNNNNNNNNNNNNNNNNNNNNNNNNNNNNNNNNNNNNNNNNNNNNNNNNNNNNNNNNAAAAAAAAAAAAAAAAAAAAAAAGAAAAAUAGGAAGAAAGAAAGUAAUCGAGAGAGGGAGGAGGAGUAACAAGAGAUAAAAGAAGAAGUGGAAAAAGGAGGAGGAGGAGGAGAAGAAGCGUUAAAAGAAUAAAAAAAAGGGGAAAAGAGCUCGGCUUCAGCUGCCGACGUUGCGCAAGUCGACGCCGCUCAAGUCGCCGGCCUCACCACCCAAGCCGACGCCGGUCUCGUUGCGUCCACAGCCGCCGUCGUGUCUGCCGCCGUAGCCACCCAAGCCGACGCUGCCGCCGCCGAGGUCGAAGUCCAUCGACCACCCCCUGCUGUUUCAGGAAGCAGCUCCUCUUUCUUUUCUUUUUAAUGCACAAAUCUGUACUCCUAAUUAAAUGUUGAAUGGGUAUUAAUUCUAUUUUAAACAUCCACUUAUGAUUUGUGCAUUUUGAAGAACAGCGUGAAAUGUUUCUUUUGAUAAAGCUUUGAAACUUUUUCUUAAAAUACUAUAUAUAUGAGUUGUGUUGGUAUGCUUAUGGAAGCACGGAGGCCUCCGUGCUUUCAAGUUAUUUUCGAUGUUCGGACUUUCGAAUCGCCGAUCGGCUCCGUUAGAGUUGAUCUAGAGUAUUUGAAAUACCUAAAAAAUAAAUUUUGCAAUUUUUCGAUAUCAUUUGCCUAGUGAUCGAAGGGGUUCAAAAUCAAUAAUUUUAACAGCCGUGGUGAGCCGGUUGCAAGUUUAACGGUGUAGAAAUAUCCAAAUCAUAUGAAAUUUUGAUAGAAAAUUCUUUAUACCAUAUAAAACAAGAUCAAUAACUUUGAAACUAAAAAUUUUAAUGUCAUAUUAUCAUAUUUUGUAAAUUUUUAUUUUCAGCCGUUGAUUUUGAGCCAUUUCGAUCACUAGGCAAACGAUAUCGAAAAUCGGCAAAAUUUAUUUUCUAGAUACUUCAAAUACUUUAGAUCAAGUUAACGAAGCGAUCGUCAAUUCGAAAGUCGCGAACAUCGAAAAAUAACUUGGAAGACGGAGCCCCUUCGUGUUUCCAUAAGCAUCCUAGCCGCACUCUAUAUAUAAUAUAUAUAUAUAUAUAUAAUAUAUAUAUAUAUAUAUAUAUAUAUUAUAUAUAUAUAUAUUUGAGUAUGAGUUAGCAUUGUUUGUGAGUUUAUGAGAGCUUAAUAAUUCAUAGUUUACUUGUGCUUUUUAAGAAUACCAUGUCAUAUUUUAAAUCUUUUAAUAAAUGAGCAUAUACAGGAAUAACCCUCAAACAUAAAUUUUCUCUUUCAUACUCUAUCAAAUCACAUUAUAUAGUGUAUUUGUAUUUAAAUUUCUAAGUUUUUUUACACAAACCCAUAUAUAUACUUAUAUAUAUAUAUAUAUAUAUAGUAGAGAGAGAGAGAGAGGAGAGAGAGAGUUUUGCUAGAAUACUAUCGGUAGUAACGGCUCGAUUUACUACUAAUUUAUUUUCGAUGAUAGAGCUUCCAAAUUGAUGAUCGGCACCGUUAAAUAUGAUCUAACUAUUUAAACUAUCGGAAUUCAAAUUUCACAUAUUUUCGAUAUUGUUCUCGUUGUCCAUCAAGUGAGCAGAAAAAUGAAUAGCCGAAAAUGAAAAUCCUUCAAAAAGUGAUGAUACAAUUUUUAUAUUUAAGAUCUAGAGUCCAGAUCUUAUUUUAAAUAGUUUAAAGAAUUUUUUAAUAAAAAUUUAGUUGAUUUGAACUAUUUUAUACCAUUAAACGAGCAAACGCAUCAUAUCGGCCAUUAAAAUUAUAGAUUUUGUGACUCUUUGAUCGUUUAGUUAGUAAUGCCAAAAAAUCAUGAAAUUUGAUUUCUAGAUAAUUUAAAUGGUUUAGAUCAUGUUCAACGGUGCCGAUCGUCGAUUUGGAAGCUCUAUCAUCAAAAACAAAUCGGUAGUAAACCGAGCAGUUUACUACCGAUAGUAGUCCGGUCAAACUCUAUAUAUAUAUACACAGACAUACACACAAGUCAGCCUAGUUAGUGUAAUAUUUUGUUGCUUAGUUCCUAGCUGGAAAAUGUAUAUAUUGUAAACAUCCAAUUCUGCAAAACAUAAAUAAAUUAAGGGAUUGUUUGUUGAUUGUAGGCUAACCAAACGUUCCGAACUCUACUAUAAUACGAGUUACUACUAGUAGCCUUGCUAAAUUUUUAUGUUCCUUUCUAUUUUAUUAGUAAUCUAGUAAUUAAUUUAGAAAAUGAUAUUUUGAUUUGACAAGCUUAAUCGGAGGUGGCUUGAAUGUAAUAAAGAGGGCGUAAUUAACCAGGUACCCGUAGAUAUCCGGAAAGUAUGAAUCCUUUUAUCUCUGAAAAUUAUUAUCUAUUGUACUAUAUAUUUCUUUUCUCGCUAGUAAAGAAUAUAUAGUCAAAAAAAAAAUACCAGAUAAAAAAAGGGAUAGGGAAAUUGCACCCCUAAUAAAUUCUCAUGCUCACCAUUUUCUACUUUCUUUUUAUUUAUUUAAAUCUUUUCUUUUUUCCAUGGUUCAUUUUUCGGAAAAACAACGAGGGCCUAGAAUCUCUUCUGGAGUUUCACAAGAAGAGGCGUUAUAGUGCGAAGCGAGGAGGAAAUGUGGAUGCCAUGGGCACUUUGACCUCCCAAUUGCAUGAUGGAUUUGCCGCACCAGCACUACGAAUACCUGUGCCUGUAGGUUUGUAGAUUACGUAACCAUUUUUUGUUAGACGACUGGACUAAAAUUUCCUCUAUUACUUUUUCUCUCAUCAUGGCUUCUGCUGUCUUUUGUUUAAAAUAUGCCAAAACUGGUGAAUAUGUUCUUAUGCAUGAUCUCGCCAUCACUCAGUUCCUCAUAUUCUGUGGAUUUUAAAAUGCUAUCCAUGGAAGGCUUACCAUUAUAACUGAUUACUCGAAGAUAAGAAGAAUAGGAUCUAGUUCCUUGAAUGUUUGAAAACAUGACAGGCACUGUUGUGAAGCGGAAAAAAGGAAAAUUUCGUGUUGAUUUAGCUCAUCCAGGUGAUGAAAUUGUGGUCGCUAUAGCGGACAAGGUGGGGUAAGUAGCAUCUUAUGUUGAUACAUGCAGAAAAUGAGGUUUCUUUUGUAUCUUGUAGGUUAAGAGGUAUAAUAUAAACCAAUCCGCUUCGGUUUAUCUGAAACAUAAAUAUCUGUCUGAUUACGAUAAAAAUUUUCAUGCAUACUGAAUAGGCUUCAACUCGUAUUUGUUUGUAUUUUGUAUUGCUAGUCCUAGAUAUAUUUAGGAAACACAUCAUGCUGGUGGGAGAUUGACUCAUUAAAUAACAUAUUAACAUCAAAAUCUAAGGACUAGAGAAGCUGCAAAGUUCAAGGAUAAAUUGAGGGCAAAAGUUUUAUUAAUCCUCAGACUCCUGCCAUUUACGAUAUAUGAGUAGUAAAUUAAUAAAAUUUGAGAAGGGAAUUCAAAUCAAUCCAUGAAUCUAAACUCGAUAGCUUUAACAGUUAAAAAUUGUCGAUAGCUUGAACUCAUUUAUCUGAAGUUUGAACAACUGUAAAAUUUUACAUUUCAGGCCUCUGGAAGAGACAUGACCUGCGUAUAUGUUCGAUGCAUUAAUUAGCAUGGUAGCAAAAUGUUCUGAAAAGCAAGUGACAAAUUCAACUAAAAUCUAGAAUGUAUCCAUAGGAUGAAACUCAAUACUAUUUUAUUUUUGUUAUGUCAUUAGACAAGAUUUAUGUUGGAUCAGCUUUGUACCAUCACUUCAUGUUGGAAAAACUAUAUUGAAAGCCUGUGGAUGUCAUGGUGCUUGACUAGUCUAUAUAAUAUGAACAAAGAUGAAACUUUGUGCAGGAGAUAACACAAAGAAUUCGAAUUUUAUGCCUUUUUCUAUGGCUUGAGAAACAUCAUCAUAUAACAUCAGCACAAAAGAAAUUCAUAUGACAUAUGUACAAAUAUAAAAUGAUGAAUGGAUAUAGAUGGAGGAUAUAAUUACCCAAUGGAACUAUAUAGCCUGCUAUUCAUAACCAGAGUGUAGCAUAAACAUCAUUUACAGUAUGUUUUUAUUGCAUUAUUUUAUUGGCUAUGUUCUGUAAUAUGUUCUUUUCUUAUCUUCUUUUCGCAGAUAAGCUUGCUAGAAAUGCCUGAACACAAAAGGAAAAAAUUAAUGGCUCUAUCCACUAAUGUAAUGCGAGAUGAAAAUGAUAAGGUCAGCUUGUUUGUCAUCAUGUGUCUCAUAUCUCAACCUGGAAUAACAUUAAUUGUUUUUGUAACCUUCGAUUUUCUAUGGUAUGGGUGACCUUCCUGAACUACUUGAGAUGCCCUAUAAAGAUCUAUAUAUAUCAUAGGCUUGAGAGAUUAGGAAGCAAGAGCAAAUUUAAAGAUAAUUUGUUGUAUGCAAUUGUGUAGAAUAGUUUAGCGGGAGGGAUAGUACAGUUUGCAAGGUAAAAAGGUCGUUAAUUCGCAUGAAUACAUGCCAACUUAUAUUUAUGUCUAUAAUCUAUACCUAAUGUGAUAAAAUGAACUGUAUCUUGAUAAGCUUUGGCAUGGAUUACCCUAUAUAGAUUAGGUUGAGACAUAUACCUUAAUUUUAUUUCGUUUCAUUGAUUCUUUAUUAAACACCCUCUUAACAUAGAAAGAAAAUAAUGUUUACGUUAAAUUGCAAAUAAUAUUUUAUAUUAGUGAAGAGGUCUUCUUUGCCUUUUCAGGGACUUCCAAAUGCUGGAAAGUCAACCUUCUUGCAGCUCUAACACUUGCGAAACCAGAUAUUGCUGACUAUCCAUUCACAACUUUAAUGCCAAAUCUUGGACGUCUUGAUGGAGACCCUAAUUUAGGGGAAUUGAAAUAUUCCUCAGAAGCAACAUUAGCUGAUUUGCCUAGUCUAAUUGAAGGUGCUCAUUUGGGCAAGGUAUUGCUACAUCUACAGUGUUUUAUGUUACUUUCAUUCUAAGAUAACUGUUUACAUCAAAGCAACAUACAUAUUGCGUUGCUGGGUCUUGGUCGAAAUUUCCUGAGACAUCUAAGGAGGACUCGGCUACUUGUUCAUGUCAUUGAUGCUGCUGCUGAGAACCCUAUAAAGGAUUAAAAGACUGUCAAAGAGGUGAUUUGCAUUUAAUUUUUUUGGCAGUGCUUUUCCUUAUUUCUCUGGGAUUCAACAUCAUUCUGCUUGUCGGUUUACCUGUGCCUUUGAGAUGAUUCCAAAUUCAAAAUUUGUUAGCUCUUGGCACUGUCUUGACUAUUUUUAUGUUUAGAGCACUUUAUAUAGGGACUUCGUCCUAAAUUAUAAAACUGCGAACCUGUUUAAAUAUUGGAACAAAUUAUCCAGUGAUAACUUGUGUGGUACAAGAAUUUCCUUUUGUAACUGCAAGUAAAAGUUUGAUUUUAGUUCAUUAUAUGAUCCUCAUAACCAUGAUUUUUUAGGGUAUUGUAUUCUGCCUACGAGGUGAUUUAUCAUGUUCCAGGAAGAGUGACUUAGAAGCUGAAUAUGCUAGGCGGAUGUAGAUAUGUUGUCAUACUCUUAUGAAGCAAUUAGCACAUGCUCCUUGAGGAAACAAAAGAGACAUGCUGAACAAGUUGUUGGUCUAAUUGCAUGCUUCUCUACUUAAUCUGGAUAAAAGAGGAUACACUGCUAUGCAAUCUGGGAACUUGUAAUUACUCGCGCCGACCUACUUCAUGAUUAAGCUAUUGUUAUUGACUUGGUAUAACGUAAUGGACUAUGAAUCUUUAAUUGAAGUUGUCCAGGGCUGUAUAACAUGAUUGAUUUGGGACAACUUUGGAGCUGAUUGGAAGUGUUGAUUUAGAUUGACAUUUGUAUAUAGUUAUUUGUCUAUAGUUAAAAGGUUUGGGAAAAUAGACAUUGCUUGAGAAGAUUUUCUUAUUAUGGUCCAUGAUCGACAUAGUUGUUGGCUACUUUUCCUUUUCUUUAGUCAUAUGAUAAAAGAGUGCCCUUUCUUGCGUUCUCUCUAUUACGUUGUAAGAAUACUUCAGAAUGUGUCCACUAAUAUUUUUUAGCUAACUUGGUGGUGACAUUUAUCUUUGUUCAUCCAAAAAGAAUUACAUAGUGCAGCUUUCUCUCCGUAAAGCUCUUAAUUCUUUCAUUAAUCAGUUCUGUGACUUCUAUUGUUUGAUGACCUAUGAGGUCGGUAUACCCUGAGGGGUAGGAUUGUCGGCUAGUUGCCGACGAAUGAUUAUAGAUUACAUUAAUCUAUGACCUGACAUUCUUGUGACCUAGUCGGUCGGUUUCUUGUAUCUCGUAUUGUGAUCUAUUUGUCGAUUUUUGUGCAUAUAUGUUAGUUGACAUUGAGUGGUCGAUACUUGUAUACCUUCGGAAGGAUGUUGAGUUGUCGGUUAGUUGCCGACGGUUGGUUAUUGAACAUAUCAACAUAGAUCGCCACAUACUCGUUCGCAUUUUAUGAACAUCAGUGAUCUAAUCCAUCACGACCAGGUGUUCUUUUCCGGAAAAGUGGUUGGAUGUGCUAGCCCGUGAGCCCAGCAUUCAAAAUUGGGUUAUAUGCAGCCCGUGAGCCCAGCUGUCAGAACUGGGUUAUAUACAGGUAGAGUGGCAGUGGCAUAAGCUUGAGGUCUGCGGACCGUCAUGCCAGGUUUCUGAUUUGAUAUUUUUGGGACUGAUCGUUCGGUUGAUGCAUACUUGUACUUUGUUCUGUAUUACAGUAGCGGCUAGUUAUAUUCCUAUAUACUGUUGUUUACCCAUGCAUCAUUGCUACUGUAGUUAUGAUAUNAUUUGCUCGGGUCACAUCUCUGCUAGAGCGGUAGUGGCAUAGCCUGCGGUCUUCGGACCAAUAUGGCAGCUUCUGGAUUGGGUAUUUUGGGAUUGAUCGUCCGGUUGACGCAUACUUGUACUUUGUUCUGUAUUAUAGUAGCGGCUAGUUAUAUUCCUAUAUACUGUUGUUUACCCAUGCAUCAUUGCUACUGUAGUUAUGAUAUUUAUGUAUGCAUUCUGUUCUAUUUUACAGUCGCGGUAGUUACAUGUUCUAUUACUGUACCCUUUUCUUUCGCAUAUUAGCUACUAUAUUGUGAUAUCUACCUAUGAUUUUGAUGAUCUUUUUCUGCCGGUGAGUACUCAUCGCCUUCGUCGGUUGUCUGCCGUGAACGAGCCGGCCCCGCCGUAGGUUGUUUUUAAGGCGAGUGGUCAUUCAUGGUAGAGGUUAAAUUUAUUUAUGUUUUAUUUUGAAAUCAGGAUUAUAGGUUCAUGGCUUCCAACAGACUCAAGAAUCUGUUGUUAAUUACCCCACACUUUCGGUGUUAAGGAACCCUCGAUUAAGAGACCAAAUAUAAAUGUUGAUAAUAAAAGAGACAAAACAGGCAAAUAAAAUUUUAUUGAUAUGAUUUGCCGUUUACAUUGCUUAAGCAGGGGCAUUUCCCCACUAUACAUGAAUUUUAUCAGACUAAAUGUCCAAUCUAGCGAAGAAGUUUUGAUUUAUUGAAUUCUAAGUAUAUGUAUUAGGAUUCAGUUGAAUUUGAAAUUGACUAGGUCCUAAGUAUAUGUGUCAAGACCUAGUCGAUAUUAGACCCUAUGUAUUAGAGUCUAAUUGGCUCUAAGUAUAUGUCUUAGAGUCCGAUUAGAUUCACCUUGGUUGUAUUUUCCAAAGUGGAGAUGUGACCUGACCUCAAGUGUAUGUAUUGAGGUGGGUCGAAUUACCCGAAAGUGAAGAGUGGCUAAUUCCUGAGUAUAUGUAUCAGGAUUAACCGCGUUUGAUAUGUUUUCACUCUAGUUAUAUGUGCUAGAAUGAAGAUCUGACUAAGCCCUAAGUAUAUGUAUUAGGGGUAGUCAGAUUUGAUUCACAUGAACUCCAAGUAUAUGUAUUAGUGCUCGAUCGGGUAUGGGUUUCACUCUAGAUAUAUAUAUUAGAGCAAAAGAUUGACUAGACCCUAAGUAUAUGUAUUAGGGCUAGUCGAGCAUGAUUUGACUUCCACUCUAGGUAUUUGUGCUAGAGCAAAAGGCUGACUAGACCCUAGGUAUGCUAGGGCUAAUCGGAUGAACUCUAAGUAUAUAUGUUAGAGUUCGAAUAAAGUUGAUAUCAUUUGACUGAAUUCUAAGUAUAUGGCUUAGAACUCUGUCGAUUUGGAGAUGUUUCGCCUUAGUUAUAUGUGCCAAGGCGAUUGACAUAGCCCUAAGUAUAUGUAUUAGAGGUAGUCGAUAUUUAAUUUUUACUCUAGGCAUAUGUGCCAGAGUAAAAAAAAGGUUCACGAUGAGAUUUGGGUAUUGGUUCAUGAGAUUUUAGUAUUGGCUCAUGAGAUUUGGUUCAUGAAUUUGGAUAUGGUUCAUGAAUUUGGUGUAUGGACUUGGUUCAUGAACUUGGAUAUGGUUCAUAGAUUUGGUGUAUGGACUUAGUUCAUGAACUUGGAUAUGGUUCAUGGAUUUGGUGUAUGGAUUUGGUUCAUGAACUUGGAUAUGGUUCAUGGGUUUGGUGUAUGGACUUGGUUCAUAAACUUGGAUAUGGUUCAUGGAUUUGGUGUACGGACUUGGUUCAUGGUUCAGAAAAUUUGAGUUUAGUUUAACGACUUUUCGGUCGUUUGGAUUUGGGUUUAGUUAACGACUUUUCGGUCGUUUGAAAUUUGGGUUUAGUUUAACGACUUUUCGGUCGUUUGAAUGUGGGUUGUUUAGUUUGACGACUUUACGGUCGGUUGAAAUUUGGGUUUAGUUUAGCGACGUUUCGAUCGUUUGAAAUCGAGAUGUUCAUGAAGCUUAUUCAUGAAAUUAAUUCAUGCUAGGAGCCCGUUUGUAAAGUCCAUUGAAUUAAUUGAUGAAAUUAAUUCAUGAUAGGGGCCAUUUGGAGAGCCCAUUGAAUUAAUUCAUGAUAAGGAGCCAUUUGGAGGGCCCAUUAAUUCAUGAAAUUAAUCUAUGACAAGGAGGGCUCAUAAAAUUAAUUCAUAGAAUUAAUCCGUGAUAAAGGGCCUAUUUGGCAAACCCAUGAGAUUAAUUUAUCGAAUUAAUUCAUGAUAGAGAGGCAUUUGGAAAGCCCAGGAAAUUAAUUCAUAGAAUUAAUUCAUAAUAAAUGGCCCAUUUGGAAAGCCCAUGAAUUCGGUUUGGGUUGGAGGUAUUUGGAUGACAUAGGUUUGGUAGAUUUGAUUGGGUUUUAUUUAUGGACUUUCGAUUUUGAAUCUUUGGGUUUUGGAUCUUUAUUUGUGGGCUUUGGAUCUUUAGGAUUUUGUUUUUGGGCUUUGGAAUCUUUGUGAUUUUAUUUGUGGACUUUGAAUUUUUGGGAUUUUUAUUUGUGGGCUUUGAGAUUUUUGAGAUUUUUAUUUGUGGGCUUUGGAAUUUUUGGAAUUUUAUUUGUGGAUUUUGGGAUCUUUGUUAUUUUAUUUGUGGACUUUGGAUUUUUGGGAUUUUUAUUUGUGGGCUUUUGGAUUUUUGGAAUUUUAUUCGUAGACUUUGGAUUUUGGAUCUUUGGAUUUUGGGUUAAGAAAUCUAUUCAUAUGAAUUUUUUAUUUCUUUUGGACCCAAAUCUGCAUGUGGGUUAAGAUUGUUUCGGGCUUUAUAGGGUCUGGGCCAUGGACCCGAAUCUGUAUGUGGAUUUGGAUUAGUUUCGGACUUUACACGUUUUGGGCCUUGGACCCAAAUCUGCAGGUGGACUGAAAUAGAUCUUGGAUUUUAUAUGUUCCGGGCCCAAUUCUGUAUGUGGGCUGAGUCGGAUUUUGGGCUUUAAUAUUCUGGGCUUUGGAUCCGAAUUUACAUGUGUGCUCUGUAUUAUUAUUUUUUUUGACUGCUUAUGAAAUUGUUUAUUGGGCCAUUUUCAAAAUAAUUCAAACCCAACUCCUCAGGUUUUUUUUUUUUUUUUCUUUUUUGACUGAGAGAAAUAAAAACUCUUCUUUUUUUUUUUGUUCUUUUCUUCUUUUCUUUUCUUUUCUUUUCUUUUCUUUUCUUUUCUGUUGAUUCUUUUUCUUUUCCUUUUUUUUUUCCUUUUUUUUUUUUACUUGUUGUGUUUCCCCUUUCUUUUCUUUUUUUAUUUUUGAAGUCUGAGAGAGAGAGAGGGAAAGAGUUGCAACCCAACUCACUCUCUGUACGACACUGAGAAACAGAGAGAGAGAGAGAGAGAGGGGGUUGCUCUCCUCUUUUUUUUUCUUUUCUUUUCUUUUUUUUUUGUUUUGUCUAAAUAAACGAAGUUGAUCACGUCGAGUCAUACAAUCGGAUCGAACGAGAAUGGCGAAUCGAAACAGAACCCGUUUAUUUAUUAUUAUUAUUAUUAUUAUUAUUUUAUCACGUUUUGUUCAAGUACGCAGAGUUUAAUCGUGUCGAGCCUAUCGCGAAGAUGGCCGCAUGAUUUUUUUAAUACCCAUGUCGAGCCUAUCACGAAGAUGGCCGCAGGGCUUACGUAAUAAAACCUCCGGUUCGAUCAAUUAUUUUGACCAUGUCGAGCCUAUCGCGAAGAUGGCAGCACGAUUUUUUUUUAUACUCAUGUCGAGCCUAUCACGAAGAUGACCGCACGGCUUACGUAAUAAAACCUCCGGUUCGAUCAAUUAUUUUGACCAUGUCGAGCCUAUCGCGAAAAUGGCCGCACGGCUUGGAGAUUAAUAAUACAUACGCACGGCGGAAGUGACGAUUUGAUGUUAGAUUUGAUCGGUUCGAAACCUAUCACGAAGAUGGUCGGGUUGAUCAAACCAACAAAAAAAAUCACACUUACGCUACGCGUACGCAUGCGUAUCUCCUGUUGUUGUAGAAAUCGUCGUAGUUGCCGUUGUCGAAGUCGUCGUCGUCGUCGUCGCGUCGUCGUUAGAGUCAAAACCUUUUCUUUUUUUUUCUUUUUUUUGUGUGUGUACGGAUUGGAGAGGGGUGCACAUGGCACCCCUCCACUGUCAACCGAGAGAGAGAGUGAGAGAGUGAGAAAGAUUGAUAAAGUGAGAGUGAGAGGUAGGGAGUAUAUAAACUCCCCUUUUUUUUUCUUUCUUUUUUCUUGCUGAAAAGAGAAUUCUCUCUCUUUUUUUUAUUCUACAACUUGGACCAAUUAAUAGGGAUCCAAGAAUCUUUUUUUUUUUUAGAACUAAUUCAAAAUAAGUUUCUCCAAAGAAAACUUAUUAUUCUCCACCUCUUAUAAGAAAUUAGAUAUUCAAUCAAAAUUUUUUUUUCCUUUCUCUUCUUUUUUUCUCUUUUUUUUUAAAAAAAUUCUUUCCUUCUCUUUUUUUAUUUCCUUUUUUUUAUUAUUUUUUAUUAUUUUUUUUAUUUUUUUGAUUUCGAAUGAACUAGGAUUCCUAGUCUAAUUAUUCUCUAAUUUUAUUCUUAUAUAUAGAUGUCACUUUAUUUUUUUUUUACUCAAACAAGGCUUGCGGUACCCACUGGAAGGGAAGACAUGUGUACAUAUUCUCACCUCCCACCCUCAUUUCAGGUGACAUUACUGAUCCGAGUCGGAAUGGUACGUGAGGCGCGUGAUUAGUGGUCGUAGUGCUUUCGACCCGGUCCAUUGGUUUAGUCACUACCUUUACUAUUUCUGAAUAAUUAACUUAGACUCUUUAUGGUUUAGUGGUUUCACUUAAAUAAAUGUUUAUGGCUUUGUGAAGUUAAUUAAAGCACUCGUGAUUUUCAUGUAAAAUAUUGGAAUUAUUUUCUACCCUUCGUGGUAGCAUUUUAAAGGAAAAAGUUUCCGUGUGGAAAAUAGUUUUAAAAAGGGUUUACUGGUUUUUCGUAAUUUUUAGUAUUUCAAAAUGAGUUUCCGAGUGGGAAACAUUUUAAACUAAUAGAUGUGGAUUUACGAAUAUCUGUGAUGAAAUGAAUGGUGUAUGUGAAUGGUGUUUGUAUGUAGAUGUUCAUACUUGUGGUUGUAUCUUAUACUUAUGCGACGCCAUGCANCUUUGAUCAUAUUACACCUUAAUAAAAAUAUUAUAUGAUUAAGGUGGGGCAUUUUGUAAAUAUAUAAAAGGGAAUAGACUAAUAUGCUAUUUUAUAUACCCGUACGUAUUAUUUUUUUCGCAAUCCGGUGCAUGAGAUAUUUUCAAAAUUUAAAUUUUAUCCAUGCACCUGGUGCAUGGAUGAUCUCAUAAGCCAUCUCUAUUUUUAUUUCUUUCUCUCCCUCUUUUUUUU
Molecule: long non-coding RNA, 25381 nt
Filed under: Ananas comosus (pineapple)
Lineage: Eukaryota; Viridiplantae; Streptophyta; Magnoliopsida; Poales; Bromeliaceae
Description: long non-coding RNA (ACOM_LNC014596)
Source: RNAcentral